CACUAUCGUUAACUGAAUACAUAGGUUAACGAGGCGAACCGGGGGAACUGAAACAUCUAAGUACCCCGAGGAAAAGAAAUCAACCGAGAUUCCCCCAGUAGCGGCGAGCGAACGGGGAGCAGCCCAGAGUCUGAAUCAGCUUGUGUGUUAGUGGAACGGUCUGGAAAGUCCGACGGUACAGGGUGAUAGUCCCGUACACCAAAAUGCACAGGCUGUGAACUCGAAGAGUAGGGCGGGACACGUGGUAUCCUGUCUGAAUAUGGGGGGACCAUCCUCCAAGGCUAAAUACUCCUGACUGACCGAUAGUGAACCAGUACCGUGAGGGAAAGGCGAAAAGAACCCCGGCGAGGGGAGUGAAAAAGAACCUGAAACCGUGUACGUACAAGCAGUGGGAGCACCUUCGGGUGUGACUGCGUACCUUUUGUAUAAUGGGUCAGCGACUUAUAUUCUGUAGCAAGGUUAACCGUAUAGGGGAGCCGCAGGGAAACCGAGUCUUAACUGGGCGUUAAGUUGCAGGGUAUAGACCCGAAACCCGGUGAUCUAGCCAUGGGCAGGUUGAAGGUUGGGUAACACUAACUGGAGGACCGAACCGACUAAUGUUGAAAAAUUAGCGGAUGACUUGUGGCUGGGGGUGAAAGGCCAAUCAAACCGGGAGAUAGCUGGUUCUCCCCGAAAGCUAUUUAGGUAGCGCCUCGUGAACUCAUCUUCGGGGGUAGAGCACUGUUUCGGCUAGGGGGUCAUCCCGACUUACCAACCCGAUGCAAACUACGAAUACCGAAGAAUGUUAUCACGGGAGACACACGGCGGGUGCUAACGUCCGUCGUGAAGAGGGAAACAACCCAGACCGCCAGCUAAGGUCCCAAAGUCAUGGUUAAGUGGGAAACGAUGUGGGAAGGCACAGACAGCCAGGAUGUUGGCUUAGAAGCAGCCAUCAUUUAAAGAAAGCGUAAUAGCUCACUGGUCGAGUCGGCCUGCGCGGAAGAUGUAACGGGGCUAAACCAUGCACCGAAGCUGCGGCAGCGACACUAUGUGUUGUUGGGUAGGGGAGCGUUCUGUAAGCCUGCGAAGGUGACCUGUGAGGGUUGCUGGAGGUAUCAGAAGUGCGAAUGCUGACAUAAGUAACGAUAAAGCGGGUGAAAAGCCCGCUCGCCGGAAGACCAAGGGUUCCUGUCCAACGUUAAUCGGGGCAGGGUGAGUCGACCCCUAAGGCGAGGCCGAAAGGCGUAGUCGAUGGGAAACAGGUUAAUAUUCCUGUACUUGGUGUUACUGCGAAGGGGGGACGGAGAAGGCUAUGUUAGCCGGGCGACGGUUGUCCCGGUUUAAGCAUGUAGGCUGGUUGUCCAGGCAAAUCCGGAUAAUCAAGGCUGAGGUGUGAUGACGAGGCACUACGGUGCUGAAGUAACAAAUGCCCUGCUUCCAGGAAAAGCCUCUAAGCAUCAGGUAACAUUAAAUCGUACCCCAAACCGACACAGGUGGUCAGGUAGAGAAUACCAAGGCGCUUGAGAGAACUCGGGUGAAGGAACUAGGCAAAAUGGUGCCGUAACUUCGGGAGAAGGCACGCUGGUGUGUAGGUGAAGUCCCUGCGGAUGGAGCUGAGACCAGUCGAAGAUACCAGCUGGCUGCAACUGUUUAUUAAAAACACAGCACUGUGCAAACACGAAAGUGGACGUAUACGGUGUGACGCCUGCCCGGUGCCGGAAGGUUAAUUGAUGGGGUUAUCCGUAAGGAGAAGCUCUUGAUCGAAGCCCCGGUAAACGGCGGCCGUAACUAUAACGGUCCUAAGGUAGCGAAAUUCCUUGUCGGGUAAGUUCCGACCUGCACGAAUGGCGUAAUGAUGGCCAGGCUGUCUCCACCCGAGACUCAGUGAAAUUGAACUCGCUGUGAAGAUGCAGUGUACCCGCGGCAAGACGGAAAGACCCCGUGAACCUUUACUAUAGCUUGACACUGAACAUUGAGCCUUGAUGUGUAGGAUAGGUGGGAGGCUUUGAAGCGUGGACGCCAGUCUGCGUGGAGCCAACCUUGAAAUACCACCCUUUAAUGUUUGAUGUUCUAACGUUGGCCCCUGACCGGGGUUGCGGACAGUGUCUGGUGGGUAGUUUGACUGGGGCGGUCUCCUCCCAAAGCGUAACGGAGGAGCACGAAGGUUAGCUAAUCCUGGUCGGACAUCAGGAGGUUAGUGCAAUGGCAUAAGCUAGCUUGACUGCGAGCGUGACGGCGCGAGCAGGUGCGAAAGCAGGUCAUAGUGAUCCGGUGGUUCUGAAUGGAAGGGCCAUCGCUCAACGGAUAAAAGGUACUCCGGGGAUAACAGGCUGAUACCGCCCAAGAGUUCAUAUCGACGGCGGUGUUUGGCACCUCGAUGUCGGCUCAUCACAUCCUGGGGCUGAAGUAGGUCCCAAGGGUAUGGCUGUUCGCCAUUUAAAGUGGUACGCGAGCUGGGUUUAGAACGUCGUGAGACAGUUCGGUCCCUAUCUGCCGUGGGCGCUGGAGAAUUGAGGGGGGCUGCUCCUAGUACGAGAGGACCGGAGUGGACGCAUCACUGGUGUUCGGGUUGUCAUGCCAAUGGCACUGCCCGGUAGCUAAAUGCGGAAGAGAUAAGUGCUGAAAGCAUCUAAGCACGAAACUUGCCCCGAGAUGAGUUCUCCCUGAGACUUUAAGUCUCCUGAAGGAACGUUGAAGACGACGACGUUGAUAGGCCGGGUGUGUAAGCGCAGCGAUGCGUUGAGCUAACCGGUACUAAUGAACCGUGAGGCUUAACCUU
RNAcentral lists this ribosomal RNA (2758 nucleotides) under Klebsiella pneumoniae. RNAcentral's name for it is "bacterial LSU rRNA". It matches the Rfam family "Bacterial large subunit ribosomal RNA". Lineage: Bacteria; Pseudomonadati; Pseudomonadota; Gammaproteobacteria; Enterobacterales; Enterobacteriaceae. The record is from RNAcentral. RNAcentral also lists the same sequence under 2 other names.